This 23-nucleotide non-coding RNA is filed under the name Arabidopsis thaliana (thale cress). The record is from RNAcentral. Lineage: Eukaryota; Viridiplantae; Streptophyta; Magnoliopsida; Brassicales; Brassicaceae.
CUGAAGAUAUGUAACAAGCCCAG